Molecule: ribosomal RNA, 319 nt
Filed under: uncultured bacterium
Lineage: Bacteria
Description: bacterial SSU rRNA
Rfam family: Bacterial small subunit ribosomal RNA
Source: RNAcentral
GACGAACGCUGGCGGCGUGCUUAACACAUGCAAGUUGAACGGGCAUACAUGGAAGCUUGCUGAAGUGUAUGUUAGUAGCGGACGGGUGAGUAAUGCAUGAGAAUCUGCCCUUUGGAGGGGGACAACAGCUGGAAACGGCUGCUAAUACCCCGUAAGCCGGGAGGUGAAAGGUACGCGAGUACUGCCGGGGGAUGAGCUCAUGUCCUAUCAGCUUGUUGGUGGGGUAACGGCCCACCAAGGCGACGACGGGUAGCCGGCCUGAGAGGGUGACCGGCCACACUGGAACUGAGACACGGUCCAGACUCCUACGGGAGGCAGC